UACGGGGGGGGCAAGCGUUGUUCGGAAUCACUGGGCGUAAAGGGCUUGUAGGUGGCCAACUAAGUCAGACGUGAAAUCCCUCGGCUUAACCGGGGAACUGCGUCCGAUACUGGAGGGCUUGAGUGCGGGAGAGGGAUGUGGAAUUCCAGGUGUAGCGGUGAAAUGCGUAGAUAUCUGGAGGAACACCGGUGGCGAAGGCGGCAUCCUGGACCGACACUGACGCUGAUGCGCGAAAGCCAGGGGAGCAAACGGG
Molecule: ribosomal RNA, 253 nt
Filed under: uncultured bacterium
Lineage: Bacteria
Description: partial 16S ribosomal RNA
Rfam family: Bacterial small subunit ribosomal RNA
Source: RNAcentral